GUCAAGCUUCCAAGAAAAGCCCUAUACCCGUUAAGGCAUGAUUACCUGUACCCGAAACCGACACAGGUGGGGUGGUAGAGAAUACCGAGGGGCGCGAGGUAACUCUCUCUAAGGAACUCGGCAAAAUGACCCCGUAACUUCGGGAGAAGGGGUGCCAGCGCGAGCUGGUCGCAGUGAAUAGGCCCAGGCGACUGUUUACCAAAAACACAGGUCUCCGCUAAGUCGCAAGACGAUGUAUGGGGGCUGACGCCUGCCCAGUGCCGGAAGGUUAAGGAAGUUGGUCAGCGCAAGCGAAGCUAACGACUGAAGCCCCGGUGAACGGCGGCCGUAACAAUAACGGUCCUAAGGUAGCGAAAUUCCUUGUCGGGUAAGUUCCGACCCGCACGAAAGGCGUAACGAUCUGGGCGCUGUCUCGGAGAGAGGCUCGGCGAAAUAGAAUUGUCUGUGAAGAUGCGGACUACGUGCACCCGGACAGAAAGACCCUAUGAAGCUUUACUGUAGCUUGGUAUUGUGCUCGGGCUCGCAAUGCGCAGGAUAGGUGGGAGGCUUUGAUCCAUUGCUUGUGGGUGAUGGUGAGCCACUGGUGAGAUACCACUCUUUGCGAGCUAGGGUUCUAACGGUUACCCGUCAUCCGGGAACCGGACAGUAUCUGGUGUGCAGUUUGACUGGGGCGGUCGCCUCCUAAAAGGUAACGGAGGCGCGCAAAGGUUUGCUCAGGCUGGUUGGAAAUCAGCCGACGAGUGUAAAAGCAGAAGCAAGCUUGACUGUGAGACCUACAAGUCGAACAGGGAGGAAACUCGGCUUUAGUGAUCCGACGGUUCUGAGUGGAAGGGCCGUCGCUCAACGGAUAAAAGUUACUCUAGGAUAACAGGCUGAUCUCCCCCAAGAGUUCACAUCGACGGGGAGGUUUGGCACCUCGAUGUCGGCUCAUCGCAACCUGGGGCUGAAGUCGGUCCCAAGGGUUGGGCUGUUCGCCCAUUAAAGCGGUACGCGAGCUGGGUUCAGAACGUCGUGAGACAGUUCGGUCCAUAUCCGGUGCAUGCGCAGGAAUAUUGAGAGGAUUUCUCCCUAGUACGAGAGGACCGGGGGGAACGCACCUCUGGUGUACCAGUUAUCGUGCCAACGGUAAACGCUGGGUAGCCAUGUGCGGAGUGGAUAACCGCUGAAAGCAUCUAAGUGGGAAGCCCACCUCAAGAUGAGUAUUCCCAUGGCUUAAGCCAGUAAGGUCACGGGAAGAACACCCGUUGAUAGGCUCUAUGUGGAAGCGCAGUAAUGCGUGAAGCAGAGGAGUACUAAUAGACCGAGGGCUUGAUC
This 1314-nucleotide ribosomal RNA is filed under the name metagenome. RNAcentral describes it as "bacterial LSU rRNA". It matches the Rfam family "Bacterial large subunit ribosomal RNA", at positions 1599 to 2925 of the family's 2925-position model. The record is from RNAcentral.